Sceloporus undulatus (fence lizard) is the source of this 212-nucleotide long non-coding RNA. RefSeq lists it as uncharacterized. The transcript has 2 exons. NCBI's taxonomy places the organism in Eukaryota, Metazoa, Chordata, Lepidosauria, Squamata, Phrynosomatidae. The record is from RefSeq and is a predicted model, not a curated record.
UAGAGUUACAACUACAAAUACGACAAAAUGCUGAAGAGCUGCAAGAUUUUGUGAAAGACUUAGAAAAUGGGAAAAGGAAUUAAAGAAAAGGAUUGUGAUUGAGGCGGCAGAGUGGAGCCCAAGAAGAGGAUUUGCCACCAAUCCGAAUGAAGCUUAUAGAAAAAAGAAGAAAACUAAAGUUAAGACAGUAUCCAAAAAACAACGGAAGAAAA